Molecule: ribosomal RNA, 453 nt
Filed under: uncultured bacterium
Lineage: Bacteria
Description: bacterial SSU rRNA
Rfam family: Bacterial small subunit ribosomal RNA
Source: RNAcentral
UGACAGUACUCCUACGGGAGGCAGCAGUGGGGGAAUAUUGCACAAUGGGCGCAAGCCUGAUGCAGCAACGCCGUGUGAGUGAAGAAGGUUUUCGGAUCGUAAAACUCUGUCCUAAGGGAAGAAACAAAUGACGGUACCUUAGGAGGAAGCCCCCGGCUAACUACGUGCCAGCAGCCGCGGUAAUACGUAGGGGGCAAGCGUUAUCCGGAAUCACUGGGCGUAAAGGGGUGCGUAGGCGGCUUAGCAAGCCAGGGGUGAAAGGCAUUGGCUCAACCAAUGUAAGCCUUUGGAACUGUUAGGCUUGAGUGCAGGAGAGGUAAGUGGAAUUCCUAGUGUAGAGGUGAAAUUCGUAGAUAUUAGGAGGAACACCAGUGGCGAAGGCGACUUACUGGACUGUAACUGACGCUGAUGCACGAAAGCGUGGGUAGCGAACAGGAUUAGAUACCCUGGUAG